This 542-nucleotide ribosomal RNA is filed under the name Escherichia coli. RNAcentral describes it as "partial 23S ribosomal RNA". It matches the Rfam family "Bacterial large subunit ribosomal RNA", at positions 1 to 573 of the family's 2925-position model. Lineage: Bacteria; Pseudomonadati; Pseudomonadota; Gammaproteobacteria; Enterobacterales; Enterobacteriaceae. The record is from RNAcentral.
GGGUUGUGAGGUUAAGCGACUAAGCGUACACGGUGGAUGCCCUGGCAGUCAGAGGCGAUGAAGGACGUGCUAAUCUGCGAUAAGCGUCGGUAAGGUGAUAUGAACCGUUAUAACCGGCGAUUUCCGAAUGGGGAAACCCAGUGUGUUUCGACACACUAUCAUUAACUGAAUCCAUAGGUUAAUGAGGCGAACCGGGGGAACUGAAACAUCUAAGUACCCCGAGGAAAAGAAAUCAACCGAGAUUCCCCCAGUAGCGGCGAGCGAACGGGGAGCAGCCCAGAGCCUGAAUCAGUGUGUGUGUUAGUGGAAGCGUCUGGAAAGGCGCGCGAUACAGGGUGACAGCCCCGUACACAAAAAUGCACAUGCUGUGAGCUCGAUGAGUAGGGCGGGACACGUGGUAUCCUGUCUGAAUAUGGGGGGACCAUCCUCCAAGGCUAAAUACUCCUGACUGACCGAUAGUGAACCAGUACCGUGAGGGAAAGGCGAAAAGAACCCCGGCGAGGGGAGUGAAAAAGAACCUGAAACCGUGUACGUACAAGCAG